Molecule: transfer RNA, 75 nt
Filed under: Candidatus Kerfeldbacteria bacterium CG08_land_8_20_14_0_20_40_16
Lineage: Bacteria; Candidatus Kerfeldiibacteriota
Description: tRNA-Arg
Rfam family: tRNA
About the family: Transfer RNA (tRNA) molecules are approximately 80 nucleotides in length.
Source: RNAcentral
CCCCUUGUAGUUCAACGGAUAGAACAAGGGACUCCUAAGCCCUAGAUCUAGGUUCAAUUCCUGGCAAGGGGACCA